ACCUCAAGGAAGGUGAAAUUGAGU
RNAcentral lists this non-coding RNA (24 nucleotides) under Arabidopsis thaliana (thale cress). The record is from RNAcentral. Lineage: Eukaryota; Viridiplantae; Streptophyta; Magnoliopsida; Brassicales; Brassicaceae.